Molecule: ribosomal RNA, 430 nt
Filed under: Pseudomonadota bacterium
Lineage: Bacteria; Pseudomonadati; Pseudomonadota
Description: Proteobacteria bacterium partial 16S ribosomal RNA
Rfam family: Bacterial small subunit ribosomal RNA
Source: RNAcentral
UGGGGAAUAUUGGACAAUGGGCGGAAGCCUGAUCCAGCCAUGCCGCGUGUGUGAAGAAGGCCUUUUGGUUGUAAAGCACUUUAAGCGAGGAGGAGGCUACUAGUACUAAUACUACUGGAUAGUGGACGUUACUCGCAGAAUAAGCACCGGCUAACUCUGUGCCAGCAGCCGCGGUAAUACAGAGGGUGCGAGCGUUAAUCGGAUUUACUGGGCGUAAAGCGUGCGUAGGCGGCUGAUUAAGUCGGAUGUGAAAUCCCUGAGCUUAACUUAGGAAUUGCAUUCGAUACUGGUCAGCUAGAGUAUGGGAGAGGGUGGUGGAAUUUCCUGUGUAGCGGUGAAAUGCGUAGAUAUAGGAAGGAACACCAGUGGCGAAGGCGACCACCUGGGCUCAUACUGACACUGAGGUGCGAAAGCGUGGGGAGCAAACAGG